UACAGAGGGUGCGAGCGUUGUCCGGAAUCACUGGGCGUAAAGGGCGCGUAGGUGGUGGCUUAAGCGUGCGGUGAAAGCUCGGGGCUCAACCCCGAGUCGGCCGUGCGAACUGGGCUCACUGGAGCAUAGUAGAGGCAGGUGGAAUUCCGGGUGUAGCGGUGGAAUGCGUAGAGAUCCGGAAGAACACCGGUGGCGAAGGCGGCCUGCUGGGCUAUGGCUGACACUGAGGCGCGCAGCGUGGGGAGCAAACAGG
RNAcentral lists this ribosomal RNA (253 nucleotides) under uncultured bacterium. RNAcentral's name for it is "partial 16S ribosomal RNA". It matches the Rfam family "Bacterial small subunit ribosomal RNA", at positions 524 to 776 of the family's 1533-position model. The record is from RNAcentral.